GGGCCCGUAGCCUAGCAUGGAUUGGGGCGCAGGCCUGCGGAGCCUGAGGUCGCGGGUUCAAAUCCCGCCGGGCCCGCCA
Molecule: transfer RNA, 79 nt
Filed under: Aigarchaeota archaeon
Lineage: Archaea; Thermoproteati; Nitrososphaerota
Description: tRNA-Arg
Rfam family: tRNA
About the family: Transfer RNA (tRNA) molecules are approximately 80 nucleotides in length.
Source: RNAcentral